RNAcentral lists this non-coding RNA (220 nucleotides) under Sporosarcina sp. Its description in RNAcentral is "T-box sequence". It matches the Rfam family "T-box leader". Rfam says of the family: Uncharged tRNA acts as the effector for transcription antitermination of genes in the T-box leader family. T-boxes are found upstream of many aminoacyl-tRNA synthetase genes and some amino acid biosynthetic genes usually in Gram-positive bacteria. The anticodon of a specific tRNA base pairs to a specifier sequence within the T-box motif, and the NCCA acceptor tail of the tRNA base pairs to a conserved bulge in the T-box antiterminator hairpin. Lineage: Bacteria; Bacillati; Bacillota; Bacilli; Caryophanales; Caryophanaceae. The record is from RNAcentral.
ACUGAUGCGAUGAUUGGAAGAGUACGUCAAUUUGUUUAUUGUAGAGAGGGAUCCGGUGGUGAAAGGACCUAUAAACGAUUGACCGAAGUCACCCAUGAGCAGUUUCCGUGAAAGUAAUCAUAGCGGGAACCGGUUUGAAGCCGUUAAAGCAGGUUGAGGUGUACGUGAUUUUACGUACACGAAUAAAGGUGGUACCGCGAACAACUCCUUCGUCCUUUAA